This 168-nucleotide ribosomal RNA is filed under the name uncultured Sphingobium sp. RNAcentral describes it as "partial 16S ribosomal RNA". It matches the Rfam family "Bacterial small subunit ribosomal RNA", at positions 338 to 523 of the family's 1533-position model. The record is from RNAcentral. Lineage: Bacteria; Pseudomonadati; Pseudomonadota; Alphaproteobacteria; Sphingomonadales; Sphingobiaceae.
CCUACGGGAGGCAGCAGUAGGGAAUAUUGGACAAUGGGCGAAAGCCUGAUCCAGCAAUGCCGCGUGAGUGAUGAAGGCCUUAGGGUUGUAAAGCUCUUUUACCCGAGAUGAUAAUGACAGUAUCGGGAGAAUAAGCACCGGCUAACUACGUGCCAGCAGCCGCGGUAA